GUACCUUUGGGGUAAUAAAUUCUUUGGGGUAAUUGAAAAAAAUUCGCCCAAAGGUUUGUACUAAUUUCAACCUGUUAUGUUAAUGUUAUCAUUUUGUGGUUUUAAUAUGAUAUACAGCUAGAUAAUAUCUCCCCAAAACGCUUCCAAACAUUUAAAUCGGACAACUAUUUGAACAAUUAUCGGUUUAUGAAAUAUGACCGUCUGUAAAGUGCAUAUCUAGCUGGAGUUAUAAACGGGCGUUUGGGCUAAUUCGCCUUUUUUGGUUUUCCACCAAAAAAACUGAUAUAUAUCACUUAUAUUAUUAUUUGAGUAAAUUGGUGGGAACUUUCUGCAGUUUUCGAUUAAUUUUCUCCAAGAAAUUGUAAGAAAUAGAAAAAAUAUUCGACAUAUAUAUGAGUAGCACGUCUGAAAUUUCACAUAUAUUCUUUCGAAGAUCUUAUUCGGAACACCUUUGGAUUCAUUCGCUUCGAUUAAAUAGGACAAAAUGGCAGCUUGCAGGGGCCAGCUGAAGGACACCUCUGGGUGCGGGAAUUUUUCGAUACAGUGAAGACCUGUUGGUGAGCUUCUGCUGUUGUUUUUAUCCAAGGGGUUUUUACUCAUCAGAUGCAUGAUUCAGAUCAAUACAGUGGUGUCUGCAUAAAAAAAGUUGAUGGGAGAAUGAUGUUUAUCAAAGGUUGAUGUAAACAAAGAAAAGAAAAUUCAACAGAUGAGGCUUUUUGACAAGAAGUGUUAUUUUGAAAUGAUUUUUAGCCAGCAAAUCAAGGUUAACAGCAUCUAGAGAAAUUUGCACAGCAACAUGGAGGAGAAAAACCAUCAAUCCUUGCAAA
This is a long non-coding RNA of Mytilus trossulus (common blue mussel), 827 nucleotides long. RefSeq lists it as uncharacterized. The record is from RefSeq and is a predicted model, not a curated record. The transcript is spliced from 4 exons. NCBI's taxonomy places the organism in Eukaryota, Metazoa, Mollusca, Bivalvia, Mytilida, Mytilidae.